GCUUCGGUAGCUCAGUUGGUAGAGCACUUGCCCGCGUAAGGCAAAGGUCCCGAGUUCGAGUCUCGGGGCCGGCCGAAGUG
This 80-nucleotide transfer RNA is filed under the name Schistocerca americana (American grasshopper). RNAcentral's name for it is "tRNA-Thr". The stretch from base 8 to 66 matches the Rfam family "tRNA", at positions 8 to 63 of the family's 71-position model. Rfam says of the family: Transfer RNA (tRNA) molecules are approximately 80 nucleotides in length. The record is from RNAcentral. Lineage: Eukaryota; Metazoa; Arthropoda; Insecta; Orthoptera; Acrididae. RNAcentral also lists the same sequence under 1 other name.